Molecule: ribosomal RNA, 1194 nt
Filed under: metagenome
Description: bacterial SSU rRNA
Rfam family: Bacterial small subunit ribosomal RNA
Source: RNAcentral
ACACUGGCACUGAAACACGGGCCAGACUCCUACGGGAGGCAGCAGUGGGGAAUCUUGCACAAUGGGGGAAACCCUGAUGCAGCGACGCCGCGUGAGCGAUGAAGCCCUUCGGGGUGUAAAGCUCUUUCGGCAGGGACGAUUAUGACGGUACCUGCAGAAGCAGCUGCGGCUAACUACGUGCCAGCAGCCGCGGUAAUACGUAGGCAGCAAGCGUUGUUCGGAGUUACUGGGCGUAAAGGGUGUGUAGGCGGCUCUCUAAGUUUGGUGUGAAAUCUCCCGGCUCAACCGGGAGGGUGCGCCGAAAACUGGGGGGCUAGAGUGCGGGAUGGGAGAGUAGAAUUCCUGGUGUAGCGGUGAAAUGCGUAGAUAUCAGGUCGAAUACCGGUGGUGUAGACGGCUCUCUGGACCGCAACUGACGCUGAGACACGAAAGCGUGGGUAGCAAACAGGAUUAGAUACCCUGGUAGUCCACGCCCUAAACGAUGCAUAUUUGGUGUAGGUCAUUCAGUUGAUCUGUGCCGGAGCUAACGCGUUAAAUAUGCCGCCUGGGGAGUACAGUCGCAAGGCUGAAACUCAAAGGAAUUGACGGGGGCCCGCACAAGCGGUGGAGCAUGUGGUUCAAUUCGACGCAACGCGAAGAACCUUACCUGGGCUCGAACGGCUAGUCAACGAUCGUGGAAACACGGUUACUCCGCAAGGGGGUCUAGUCGAGGUGCUGCAUGGCUGUCGUCAGCUCGUGUCGUGAGAUGUUGGGUUAAGUCCCGCAACGAGCGCAACCCUUGUCCUGUGUUGCCAUGCCGAAAGGCGGAACUCGCAGGAGACCGCCAGCGAUAAGCUGGAGGAAGGUGGGGAUGACGUCAAGUCCUCAUGGCCUUUAUGUCCAGGGCUACACACGUGCUACAAUGGCCGGUACAAUGCGCUGCUAAGUCGCAAGACGGAGCCAAUCGCAAAAAACCGGUCUCAGUUCGGAUUGCAGGCUGCAACUCGCCUGCAUGAAGCUGGAAUCGCUAGUAAUGGCAGAUCAGCACGCUGCCGUGAAUACGUUCCCGGGCCUUGUACACACCGCCCGUCACAUCACGAAAGUGGAUUGUACUAGAAGUCCGCAGGCUGACCCGCAAGGGGAGCAGCGGCCCAAGGUAUGAUUCAUGAUUGGGGUGAAGUCGGAACAAGGUAGCCGUAGGAGAACCUGCGGCUG